AUGCAGUCGAACGGAAAGGCCCUGCUUUUGUGGGGUGCUCGAGUGGCGAACCGGUGAGUAACACGUGAGUAACCUGCCCUUGACUUUGGGAUAACUUCAGGAAACUGGGGCUAAUACCGGAUAGGAGCUCCUGCUGCAUGGUGGGGGUUGGAAAGUUUCGGCGGUUGGGGAUGGACUCGCGGCUUAUCAGCUUGUUGGUGGGGUAGUGGCUUACCAAGGCUUUGACGGGUAGCCGGCCUGAGAGGGUGACCGGCCACAUUGGGACUGAGAUACGGCCCAGACUCCUACGGGAGGCAGCAGAGGGGAAUAUUGCACAAUGGGCGGAAGCCUGAUGCAGCAACGCCGCGUGCGGGAUGACGGCCUUCGGGUUGUAAACCGCUUUCGCCUGUGACGAAGCGUGAGUGACGGUAAUGGGUAAAGAAGCACCGGCUAACUACGUGCCAGCAGCCGCGGUGAUACGUAGGGUGCGAGCGUUGUCCGGAUUUAUUGGGCGUAAAGGGCUCGUAGGUGGUUGAUCGCGUCGGAAGUGUAAUCUUGGGGCUUAACCCUGAGCGUGCUUUCGAUACGGGUUGACUUGAGGAAGGUAGGGGAGAAUGGAAUUCCUGGUGGAGCGGUGGAAUG
Molecule: ribosomal RNA, 621 nt
Filed under: uncultured bacterium
Lineage: Bacteria
Description: bacterial SSU rRNA
Rfam family: Bacterial small subunit ribosomal RNA
Source: RNAcentral